Molecule: RNA transcript, 1927 nt
Organism: Capsicum annuum
Lineage: Eukaryota; Viridiplantae; Streptophyta; Magnoliopsida; Solanales; Solanaceae
Exons: 12
Source: RefSeq, a predicted model, not a curated record
GGAAACUUACUUUGAGCAUAUUUAGCUUGUUCAAAGCUCCAAGUGACAGUGGGCGGGCGAGCGAGCGAGUCGGAAAAAUGUUUCUACGAAGAGUAGCGAGGCCAUUGAUGAUGUCAGCGAAAUUGAAACAGCCAACGGGGAUCGUAGGUCUUCACGUAGUUCCAAAUGCCAGAGAAGUUCUCAUUGAUCUUUAUACGAAAACCCUAGAGGAGAUCAAGGCUGUGCCAGAGGAUGCAGAAUAUUGCAAAGAUGUGGAAAGAUUCACGCGACGCGGUUUAAGUGUAUGUCAGGAGGAAGAAGAUUUUGAAAUGAUUGAGAAGCGGCUUGGUUGUGGUCAGGCUCAGCAUGAGCUUAAUCUCGUUGGCAAAAUGAACGGUAAAAUUUAUGGGGAUUAUAUGCAAUCGAAAUGCAAUCUUCAGAGAAAUGUAUGUCAGUGUCAGAAAUACUCUAUGAUGCUCAGGGCAUCAUAUUCUACGGAAGCAGGGACAGUUGAAAGUAGUGUGACAGAGUCUGUGAAGGAAUUGUAUGACAAGAUGCUCAAGUCUGUCCUGGAUCAAAGAAGUGCUCCGCCUAAUGCCUGGUUGUGGUCCCUAAUACAGAGUUGUGCAAACCGCGAAGAUGCUAAUCUUUUAUUCGACAUAUUGAAGAGACUUCGGAUAUUUAGACUUUCAAAUCUCCGUAUCCAUGAAAAUUUCAACUGUGCCCUCUGCCAGGAAAUUACCAAGGCAUGUGUACGUGUUGGCGCCAUUGAUUUGGGUAAGAAAGUGUUGUGGAAGCAUAAUGUUUAUGGACUGACUCCUAAUAUUGGAUCUGCGCACCAUUUACUGUUAUUUUCUAAACAGCAUAAUGAUGUUAAACUCUUGGUAGAAAUUAUGAAUCUGGUGAAGAAAAAUGACUUGAUCCUGCAGCCUGGAACUGCAGAUAUAGUCUUCAGCAUUUGCUCCCAAACUGAUAACUGGGACUUGAUAUGUAAGUAUGGUAAAAGGUUUGUCAAGGCAGGAGUGAAGCUACGAAAGACUUCCUUGGACACUUGGAUGGUAUUUGCCUCGAAAAUGGGAGAUGUGGAUUGUUUGUGGAAAAUUGAGAAGAUACGAUCAGAAACCAUGAAGGAACAUAGUCUUGGGAGUGGACUUUCAUGUGCUAAGGCUUUCCUAAUUGACCACAAACCUGAAGAUGCUGCUGCUGUCAUUCAAUUACUCAAUCAGACAGUACCUGAUUCAAGAAGGCAAAAAUUCAUGGUUGAACUUCAAAAGCUAGUUGAGGAGUGGCCUUUGGAGGUGAUAAAGCGACAAAAGGAUGAGAGGAGGAAGGAGUUGGCUGCAACGCUACAUGAUGAUCUUCCUACCAUGCUCAGUGCCUUGUCAAAUAUGGGCUUGAGGUUGAACGUAAAUGUGGAAGAUCUAACAAGAGAAGGUGUUUUUGCUUGAAUUUUAGUGAAUAAACAUCAAACAUCAUGUUGCCCCUUUACAACAUAUUUUUGCAUUACGGAGAAGCAGCCAUCUCAGUUUGCUAUGUUGCAGUUUUACUGUCAUGACACAAUUUUGUGGCUUGAAGGAGGUAUUUUCAAUGAAAUAACCAGAGACAUGAGGCGCCUUGAUCUCCAAGUUCGACGGGUUAGUGUGAGCUCUUUGGAUUGGAAUUCGUAUUUGGAAAGAUCAUUGGCUUUUGUACUUUGGUGCUUCUUUGAGAUCCUUCCGAGGACUUAUGCCUGUGCUAGUGAAGUUUUAAUCUAGUAGGCAGUAACAAUAUAAUGUUUUCGAAGGCGUUAAUUUUAAUUUUUAUUAUUUUAAAAGUAUUUUCGCUAUAAAUUUAAUUAUUUUUUUUUGUUAUUGGUGUGAUGAUAUUUAUACUUUAUACCAUCAUAUUUUCAUAUUGUAAAUAAUUAUAAUAUCUUUUCUAUAUUAUUAGUGAUUUAUUUGCAGAAUUA